RNAcentral lists this ribosomal RNA (493 nucleotides) under uncultured bacterium. RNAcentral describes it as "partial 16S ribosomal RNA". It matches the Rfam family "Bacterial small subunit ribosomal RNA", at positions 28 to 506 of the family's 1533-position model. The record is from RNAcentral.
GACGAACGCUGGCGGCGCGCUUAACACAUGCAAGUCGAACGGAAAGGCCUGCUUUCCCUUGUGGAUUGCGGGUACUCGAGUGGCGAACGGGUGAGUAACACGUGAGUGAUCUGCCCCCAACUUGGGUAUAAGCCUGGGAAACUGGGUCUAAUUCCCGAUAGGACUGCAGGGUGGUGCCUGUGGUGGAAAACGAUUUUCUAGUGGUUGGGGAUGAGCUCGCGGCCUAUCAGCUUGUUGGUGGGGUAAUGGCCUACCAAGGCGGCGACGGGUAGCCGGCCUGAGAGGGUGGACGGCCACAUUGGGACUGGGAUACGGCCCAGACUCCUACGGGAGGCAGCAGUGGGGAAUAUUGCACAAUGGGCGGAAGCCUGAUGCAGCGACGCCGCGUGGGGGAUGACGGCCUUCGGGUUGUAAACUCCUUGCGACCGCGAGGAAGCCACCUGGUUGGAAGGGUGGUGACGGUAGUGGUAGAAGAAGCACCGGCUAACUACGU